This 434-nucleotide ribosomal RNA is filed under the name uncultured Pseudobutyrivibrio sp. Its description in RNAcentral is "partial 16S ribosomal RNA". It matches the Rfam family "Bacterial small subunit ribosomal RNA", at positions 341 to 792 of the family's 1533-position model. The record is from RNAcentral. Lineage: Bacteria; Bacillati; Bacillota; Clostridia; Lachnospirales; Lachnospiraceae.
ACGGAAGGCAGCAGUGGGGAAUAUUGCACAAUGGGGGAAACCCUGAUGCAGCGACGCCGCGUGAGUGAUGAAGUACUUCUGUACGUAAAGCUCUAUCAGUAGGGAAGAUAAUGACGGUACCUAACUAAGAAGCACCGGCUAAAUACGUGCCAGCAGCCGCGGUAAUACGUAUGGUGCAAGCGUUAUCCGGAUUUACUGGGUGUAAAGGGAGCGUAGGCGGUACGGCAAGUCUGAUGUGAAAACCCGGGGCUCAACUCCGGGAUUGCAUUGGAAACUGUCGAACUAGAGUGUCGGAGGGGUAAGUGGAAUUCCCAGUGUAGCGGUGAAAUGCGUAGAUAUUGGGAGGAACACCAGUGGCGAAGGCGGCUUACUGGACGAUUACUGACGCUGAGGCUCGAAAGCGUGGGGAGCAAACAGGAUUAGAUACCCUGGUA